RNAcentral lists this ribosomal RNA (253 nucleotides) under uncultured bacterium. Its description in RNAcentral is "partial 16S ribosomal RNA". It matches the Rfam family "Bacterial small subunit ribosomal RNA", at positions 524 to 776 of the family's 1533-position model. The record is from RNAcentral.
UACGGAGGGUGCAAGCGUUAUUCGGAAUUAUUGGGCGUAAAGGGCGCGUAGGCGGUCUCUUAAGUCAGAUGUGAAAGCCCGGGGCUUAACCCUGGAAGCGCAUUUGAAACGAAGGGACUUGAGUAUGGGAGAGGGAAGUGGAAUUCCUGGUGUAGAGGUGAAAUUCGUAGAUAUCAGGAGGAACACCGGUGGCGAAGGCGACUUCCUGGACCAAUACUGACGCUGAGGCGCGAAGGCGUGGGGAGCAAACAGG